GGAUGUAGCUAAGUUGGUAGAGUGCUUGUCUUGCAUGCACAAGGCCCUGGGUUCAAUCCCCAGCACCA
RNAcentral lists this transfer RNA (68 nucleotides) under Marmota monax (woodchuck). Its description in RNAcentral is "tRNA.Ala". It matches the Rfam family "tRNA", at positions 6 to 65 of the family's 71-position model. From Rfam's summary of the family: Transfer RNA (tRNA) molecules are approximately 80 nucleotides in length. Lineage: Eukaryota; Metazoa; Chordata; Mammalia; Rodentia; Sciuridae. The record is from RNAcentral.